CAAGCAAGACAUAUUGUUUUCAAUGUUGAUCAAAGAAUACUUGAUCAACAAGAUGCAGAACAUACACAAUCAUCGAUAUUGAGCCAUGUGCAAGCGUUGACUGGGGUUUCUUAUACUACAAAUAAACUUGGAUAGUUUUGAUUUAGAAUUGAUCAGAAACAAGAUAAAUGAGUUUUACACUGUUUCUUUCUUUCAAAUAGGGAUCGAUAAAUAGCGAAAAUCUUGUGAACAUAAUUGAAAAUCAGUUCAUAGAACAAGAUCGGUUAAUUGAGAUGCAGGAGGAAAGGUUUAUUAUAAAUACUGCGUUGAAGACUUUUUUUUAUGGAUGUGCAGUAUUUGGAACCAUUUUCAAGUUCUUAAUUAAUUAAUAAACUCAUGAACAGAGUAAUUGGAGUUUUCAUCUAAAUUUCAAACCCCACAUUCGCCACAUUUUCAAAAAUUAUCAUUGGAUAAAUUUUUAUAUAUUUUGCAUGUAUCACACACAGAAUCAGC
Molecule: long non-coding RNA, 492 nt
Organism: Pieris napi
Lineage: Eukaryota; Metazoa; Arthropoda; Insecta; Lepidoptera; Pieridae
Exons: 2
Source: RefSeq, a predicted model, not a curated record